AACUAACGCUAUUAUUGAUACAGUUUCUGUACUUCAUUGGUAUGGGAAGCUUCCAGGAAUAACCUGUGUUUGAGGUGAAAGCCCUCAACACUAGGAAUCUUCUGGCAAAUUUUGGAAGGAGGGUCUUCGGACCCUC
Molecule: unclassified non-coding RNA, 136 nt
Filed under: Trypanosoma theileri
Lineage: Eukaryota; Euglenozoa; Kinetoplastea; Trypanosomatida; Trypanosomatidae
Description: trans-spliced leader
Source: RNAcentral